CAGGGAUUGCCCUAGUAACGGCGAGUGAAGCGGCAACAGCUCAAAUUUGAAAUCUGGCCCUAGUGGUCCGAGUUGUAAUUUGUAGAGGAUGCUUUUGGCGCGGUGCCUUCCGAGUUCCCUGGAACGGGACGCCUUAGAGGGUGAGAGCCCCGUACGGUUGGACACCAAGCCUCUGUAAAGCUCCUUCGACGAGUCGAGUAGUUUGGGAAUGCUGCUCUAAAUGGGAGGUAAAUUUCUUCUAAAGCUAAAUACCGGCCAGAGACCGAUAGCGCACAAGUAGAGUGAUCGAAAGAUGAAAAGCACUUUGAAAAGAGGGUUAAAUAGCACGUGAAAUUGUUGAAAGGGAAGCGUUUGCGACCAGACCUUUUCCUAGCGGAUCAUCCGGUGUUCUCACCGGUGCACUUCGCUAGGCUUAGGCCAGCAUCGGUUUCUGUGGGGGGAUAAAAGCUCGGGGAACGUGGCUCCCUCGGGAGUGUUAUAGCCCCUUGCAUAAUACCCUCACGGGGACCGAGGACCGCGCUUUUGCAAGGAUGCUGGCAUAAUGGUCGUCAACGACCCGUCUUGAAACACGGACCAAGGAGUCGAACAUUUGUGCGAGUGUUUGGGUGUUAAACCCUCACGCGUAAUGAAAGUGAACGGAGGUGAGAGCCCUUACGGGUGCAUCAUCGACCGAUCCUGAUGUCUUCGGAUGGAUUUGAGUAAGAGCAUAACUGUUCGGACCCGAAAGAUGGUGAACUAUGCGUGGAUAGGGUGAAGCCAGAGGAAACUCUGGUGGAGGCUCGCAGCGGUUCUGACGUGCAAAUCGAUCGUCAAAUCUGCGCAUGGGGGCGAAAGACUA
This 838-nucleotide ribosomal RNA is filed under the name Clypeosphaeria sp. Its description in RNAcentral is "partial large subunit ribosomal RNA". It matches the Rfam family "Eukaryotic large subunit ribosomal RNA", at positions 69 to 933 of the family's 3401-position model. The record is from RNAcentral. Lineage: Eukaryota; Fungi; Ascomycota; Sordariomycetes; Xylariales; Xylariaceae.